Molecule: ribosomal RNA, 233 nt
Filed under: uncultured bacterium
Lineage: Bacteria
Description: partial 16S ribosomal RNA
Rfam family: Bacterial small subunit ribosomal RNA
Source: RNAcentral
UAACCUGCCUUACACAGGGGGAUAACACCUGGAAACAGGUGCUAAUACCGCAUGAUGCGUCUGGGCCGCAUGGCUCUGGGCGCCAAAGAUUCAUCGCUCUGAGAUGAGCUCGCGUCUGAUUAGCUAGUUGGCGGGGCAACGGCCCACCAAGGCGACGAUCAGUAGCCGGACUGAGAGGUUGGCCGGCCACAUUGGGACUGAGACACGGCCCAGACUCCUACGGAAGGCAGCAG